This 552-nucleotide long non-coding RNA is filed under the name Equus caballus (horse). RNAcentral's name for it is "lncRNA (ENSECAG00000049337.1)". Lineage: Eukaryota; Metazoa; Chordata; Mammalia; Perissodactyla; Equidae. The record is from RNAcentral.
AGGGAACAGAGCCGUGAGAGGAGAAUGGAAAGCAGGAUAGGAAAGUCAUGGGGGUUUUUCCACGUAAACAAGAGAGGCUGCAGGUUGACAAAGCUCCUUACUCUAAUACACUCACCCAGGUCUAUGACAAAGACUGAAGAUGACAUCUUUUUGGGCUCUAAUGCUUUAGUUUCUGGCAAGCUCAGCACCAAACCCUCCUGACUCCUGACCCCAUCAUCCUUGGCUUGCAAGGAAACAAGCCGAACUGCUGAUGCCAUAGUACAGAAGAGUACACCUGCCAAAAGAUAGAGACGGGAGGAGAUCUCUGCAGAAUGAUGGAAGAUCUCCAAACCCAGAAGGCUGGCCAGGAGUAAGAAGACUGAGCAGGGGUGCCUCUGUUGUCCCAGGCAGCAUAAGAUUUCUGGAAGCUACAGUACAAUUCUUGCCUGGAGCCAUCCUGCUGCUUCAGGGCAGGCUUUGAUUCCUGACUCAUUUGACUGAAAUCCUCUAUGCUGCCCUGUAGACUAUCCAGACACCACAUCCCAAUUAAAUCUGCAUUUAAAUUGAAUCUGC